GCCAUACCGCGUGGGUGAAGAAGGCCUUCGGGUUGUAAAGCCCUUUUGUUGGGAAAGAAAUCCAGCCGGCUAAUACCUGGUUGGGAUGACGGUACCCAAAGAAUAAGCACCGGCUAACUUCGUGCCAGCAGCCGCGGUAAUACGAAGGGUGCAAGCGUUACUCGGAAUUACUGGGCGUAAAGCGUGCGUAGGUGGUUGUUUAAGUCUGUUGUGAAAGCCCUGGGCUCAACCUGGGAACUGCAGUGGAAACUGGACGACUAGAGUGUGGUAGAGGGUAGCGGAAUUCCUGGUGUAGCAGUGAAAUGCGUAGAGAUCAGGAGGAACAUCCAUGGCGAAGGCAGCUACCUGGACCAACACUGACACUGAGGCACGAAAGCGUGGGGAGCAAACAGGAUUAGAUACCCUGGUAGUCCACGCCCUAAACGAUGCGAACUGGAUGUUGGGUGCAAUUUGGCACGCAGUAUCGAAGCUAACGCGUUAAGUUCGCCGCCUGGGGAGUACGGUCGCAAGACUGAAACUCAAAGGAAUUGACGGGGGCCCGCACAAGCGGUGGAGUAUGUGGUUUAAUUCGAUGCAACGCGAAGAACCUUACCUGGCCUUGACAUGUCGAGAACUUUCCAGA
This 622-nucleotide ribosomal RNA is filed under the name Stenotrophomonas sp. Ri2Pt_4126. Its description in RNAcentral is "bacterial SSU rRNA". It matches the Rfam family "Bacterial small subunit ribosomal RNA", at positions 391 to 1004 of the family's 1533-position model. Lineage: Bacteria; Pseudomonadati; Pseudomonadota; Gammaproteobacteria; Lysobacterales; Lysobacteraceae. The record is from RNAcentral.